AGCAGCCCAGGGAGCCUCGGAAAGAUGCCCCGAGCAAGCCUUACGGAGGAAUGCUGAUAUGUGGGAACUGACAAAGAAGCAUGAGAGAGCCGAUGUUCACCUCUUAAACCUGAUGAAAUUUGCUGGUGAAUCACAGGCUGCAAAAUACAACUGAGCAAGUUAAAUUCCACUUCCCUUGAACACGGAAGCCAGCAGUGCAUUUGUCACAUGGUCACAUCAGCAGACCACAACAACAAGAGCAAUCACCUGGUGAAACAAUCCACACAGAGAUUUGGAAGGAAAAUUUCUUUCAGGUUCAGAUGAG
This 304-nucleotide long non-coding RNA is filed under the name Parus major (Great Tit). RNAcentral's name for it is "lncRNA (ENSPMJG00000010569.1)". Lineage: Eukaryota; Metazoa; Chordata; Aves; Passeriformes; Paridae. The record is from RNAcentral.